RNAcentral lists this long non-coding RNA (988 nucleotides) under Lepidothrix coronata (blue-crowned manakin). Its description in RNAcentral is "lncRNA (ENSLCOG00000014549.1)". Lineage: Eukaryota; Metazoa; Chordata; Aves; Passeriformes; Pipridae. The record is from RNAcentral.
UUAUGAUUUACUGAGCAAGUGCACUGCUUUCUAUGACAUAUUAGUACUCAGGUUUGCUCCCUGUUUCUCUUUUAAAGAGGCAAGGAAAUGUGAUGUGUUUGAAUGUGAUACUCAAACCACAGUCUGUGUAGAAGGCCUGUUUCCAGAAUGCCAAUGCAAAAGUGGUUUAGAAAAGACAGAAUGGGAUGAUCGUUCUUGUUCAGCUUGCAGUAAAAGCUGUUCUGCGCAAGCACACAAGUACUGCACAAUAAAAGAAGGGAUCCCAAAAUGCACAUGUAUGACUAACUUUAAAGAGAAAGAUGGAGAAGAUGGAGAAUGCGUACCUUGUCGAGUGGGCUAUUCUGGGGAGAACUGCACUGACAACACUGAACUCAUCCUUAUAAUAGUGGGUACAGUUCUUGGAGCCAUUAUUCUGAGUUUAGUGAUAGCAGUCUCUGUAAUUUCAGCAAGAGCCAAACACAAACAAAAUCCAGAGAAGAAGAGGCUGAUAAAGUCAGGAUAUUCCGACACAGAUCUCUCUGAUGAUAGACCGACCAUAACGUUCCCCAGAGUCCAGACCACUUCUGGCCAUGCAAACCCAGGAUAUCAGCCAAACAACCCAUAUGAGAUACCUUCCACAAAUAAAGGUCAUUUUUUGGAGAGGGAUUAUGAUGAUUUGUACGAACCAUCACAGGAGCGUGGGGGCUUUAGGAUGCAGAGCAGAUACUAAGUGACAAGAGCAGUAGAAGGACCUACGACCACUGCAACACUGGGUCAGACCAAAGAGUUUCACAGCCUCUCACCAAUGCAGUUACUUCAGCAGAGGAGACAACAAAGUCCUUGACUCCAGAUUCUCUCAAGAUUUUCUAAAAGAAGACCCUCGCUUGAAAGAGAUCAUGGACAACUCUGAAAUAAGGGGAAAAUGUAGUAGGGGAUAGGGAAAAGAAGAAGAUAUCUUUUAAAAAAACUAAUGAGCUCCAAUAAACAUUAGACUUCUUUGAGAAGGCCA